Molecule: ribosomal RNA, 253 nt
Filed under: uncultured bacterium
Lineage: Bacteria
Description: partial 16S ribosomal RNA
Rfam family: Bacterial small subunit ribosomal RNA
Source: RNAcentral
GACGAACCGUGCGAACGUUGUUCGGAAUCACUGGGCUUAAAGGGCGCGUAGGCGGGUCGGCAAGUCAGGGGUGAAAUCGUUCGGCUUAACCGGACAACUGCCUUUGAUACUGCCGGUCUUGAGGGAGGUAGGGGUCUGCGGAACUUCCGGUGGAGCGGUGAAAUGCGUUGAUAUCGGAAGGAACGCCGGUGGCGAAAGCGGCGGACUGGACCUCUUCUGACGCUGAGGCGCGAAAGCCAGGGGAGCAAACGGG